This 253-nucleotide ribosomal RNA is filed under the name uncultured prokaryote. RNAcentral describes it as "partial 16S ribosomal RNA". It matches the Rfam family "Bacterial small subunit ribosomal RNA", at positions 524 to 776 of the family's 1533-position model. The record is from RNAcentral.
UACGGAGGGUGCAAGCGUUAUCCGGAUUCACUGGGUUUAAAGGGUGCGUAGGUGGGCUGGUAAGUCAGUGGUGAAAUCUCCGGGCUUAACUCGGAAACUGCCGUUGAUACUAUUUGUCUUGAAUACUUUGGAGGUAAGCGGAAUAUGUCAUGUAGCGGUGAAAUGCUUAGAUAUGACAUAGAACACCAAUUGCGAAGGCAGCUUACUACACAGAAAUUGACACUGAGGCACGAAAGCGUGGGGAUCAAACAGG